AUAUAGGANUAAGUACAANGUCGUAAGUCANGACUCAGUAGGCUGUACCUGCUGGUCGGAUCAUUA
Molecule: ribosomal RNA, 66 nt
Filed under: Inocybe dunensis
Lineage: Eukaryota; Fungi; Basidiomycota; Agaricomycetes; Agaricales; Inocybaceae
Description: partial 18S ribosomal RNA
Source: RNAcentral